CCUACGGGCGGCAGCAGUGAGGAAUAUUGGUCAAUGGACGAGAGUCUGAACCAGCCAAGUAGCGUGAAGGAUGACUGCCCUAUGAGUUGUAAACUGCUUUUAUAUGGGGAUAAAACUGGAUAUGCAUAUUCUCUUGUAUGUACCAUAUGAAUAAGGAUCGGCUAACUCCGUGCCAGCAGCCGCGGUAAUACGGAGGAUCCGAGCGUUAUCCGGAUUUAUUGGGUUUAAAGGGUGCGUAGGUGGAUUGUUAAGUUAGAGGUGAAAGGUUGGGGCUUAACCGUGAAACUGCAGUUAAUACUGGUGGUCUUGAGAACAGUAGAGGUGGGCGGAAUGCGUGGUGUAGCGGUGAAAUGCUUAGAUAUCACAAAGAACACCGAUUGCGAAGGCAGCUUACUGAACUGCAUCUGACACUGAUGCUCGAAAGCGUGGGUAGCAAACAGGAUUAGAUACCCCAGUAGUC
RNAcentral lists this ribosomal RNA (460 nucleotides) under uncultured bacterium. RNAcentral's name for it is "partial 16S ribosomal RNA". It matches the Rfam family "Bacterial small subunit ribosomal RNA", at positions 338 to 795 of the family's 1533-position model. The record is from RNAcentral.